This 497-nucleotide ribosomal RNA is filed under the name uncultured bacterium. Its description in RNAcentral is "partial 16S ribosomal RNA". It matches the Rfam family "Bacterial small subunit ribosomal RNA", at positions 28 to 507 of the family's 1533-position model. The record is from RNAcentral.
GACGAACGCUGGCGGCGUGCUUAACACAUGCAAGUCGAGCGGACGGACGCGAAGCUUGCUUCUCUGAUGUUUGCGGCGGACGGGUGAGUAACACGUGGAUACCCCACCUAUCUGACUGGGAUAUCUUCGGAACACCGGAGCUAAUACCGGAUAAUCUUUUGAUCCGCAUGGUUCAAUAGUGAAAGUCGGCCUUGCUGUAACUUCUCGCUGGUUCCGCGCUGCAUUAUCUAGUUGGUAAGGUAACGGCUUAUCACGGCGACGAUGCAUAGCCGACCUGACAGGGUGAUCGGCCACACUGGAACUGGAACACGGUCCAGAGUCCUACGGGACGCAGCAGUAGGGAAUCUUCCGCAAUGGUCGAAAGCCUGACGGAGCAACGCCGCGUGAGUGAUGGAGGUCUUCGGAUCGUAAAACUCUGUUAUUAGGGAAGAACAUAUGUGUAAGUAACUGUGCACAGCUUGACGGUACCUAAUCAGAAAGCCACGGCUAACUACGUG